UACGAAGGGGGCUAGCGUUGUUCGGAAUUACUGGGCGUAAAGCGCGUGUAGGCGGGCCGUUAAGUCGGGGGUGAAAGCCCAGAGCUCAACUCUGGAAUUGCCUUCGAUACUGGCGGCCUGGAGCAUGAUAGAGGCGAGUGGAAUUGAGAGUGUAGAGGUGAAAUUCGUAGAUAUUCGCAGGAACACCAGUGGCGAAGGCGACUCGCUGGAUCAUUGCUGACGCUGAGUCGCGAAAGCGUGGGGAGCAAACAGG
This 253-nucleotide ribosomal RNA is filed under the name uncultured bacterium. RNAcentral describes it as "partial 16S ribosomal RNA". It matches the Rfam family "Bacterial small subunit ribosomal RNA", at positions 524 to 776 of the family's 1533-position model. The record is from RNAcentral.